CCUGGGAAACUGGGUCUAAUACCGGAUAGGACCGCACUUUAAUGUGUGUGGUGGAAAGUUUUUUCGGUGUAGGAUGAGCCCGCGGCCUAUCAGCUUGUUGGUGGGGUAAUGGCCUACCAAGGCGGCGACGGGUAGCCGGACUGAGAGGUUGGUCGGCCACAUUGGGACUGAGAUACGGCCCAGACUCCUACGGGAGGCAGCAGUGGGGAAUAUUGCACAAUGGGCGCAAGCCUGAUGCAGCGACGCCGCGUGGGGGAUGACGGCCUUCGGGUUGUAAACUCCUUUCGCCAGGGACGAAGCGUUUUGUGACGGUACCUGGAGAAGAAGCACCGGCUAACUACGUGCCAGCAGCCGCGGUAAUACGUAGGGUGCAAGCGUUGUCCGGAAUUACUGGGCGUAAAGAGCUCGUAGGUGGUUUGUCACGUCGUCUGUGAAAUUCCACAGCUUAACUGUGGGCGUGCAGGCGAUACGGGCUGACUUGAGUACUGUAGGGG
RNAcentral lists this ribosomal RNA (494 nucleotides) under uncultured Actinomycetales bacterium. RNAcentral's name for it is "bacterial SSU rRNA". It matches the Rfam family "Bacterial small subunit ribosomal RNA", at positions 148 to 657 of the family's 1533-position model. The record is from RNAcentral. Lineage: Bacteria; Bacillati; Actinomycetota; Actinomycetes; Actinomycetales.